Molecule: long non-coding RNA, 992 nt
Organism: Solanum lycopersicum (tomato)
Lineage: Eukaryota; Viridiplantae; Streptophyta; Magnoliopsida; Solanales; Solanaceae
Source: RefSeq, a predicted model, not a curated record
UGCCAUAUAUGAAAUUUCCCCCCCUUUUUUUUUAUCCCAGCCCAACUCUUUUAUUCCCUUAACCCGACCCAACCGCUUACCCCUUAAACCCAGUAGCGUCAACAGUUGCGCGAGUGAGACAACGACAUAUUUCAGUGGUCUAACGCAUGCAAAACGGUUCCAAUGUUCUCAAACGUUAAUGGAGCAGCGCGUAUGGAUCCACUCUCGACGACCAGCAGCAAUAUGCAACUUUUCGCCUGCAAGAAUCGUCCUUGCAGCUGGGUCCGUUUGUCCUUAUGGCUAAGGGAUGAUGACACACAACAACUCGAGGACAAGCCUGAAGAAUCGGAGCCAUCCAUGCUGCUGCCAAGUCCAGAUCCUGUGGGAUUUGGACAUUUUCCUGUUCCACUGUUCAAUCCUCGUCGUCCAUGGAGCUUAAGUAUAGUAUAAAGUCCCAAGCAACACAACUAUUUCUUCUAUGGUGCCAGACUAUUAGGAUGAGUCUCUAGAGAAAUAUGUCCUUCAGAAUAAGAGAGAUGAACCUAUAUUUUUGUUAAUUUUCCGUUUGAAGACAAUGUAGAAAGAGCCCCAAAGGUGUUCUAAUUUGUCAAAUGAGCAGACUGCUUGGAAGCUUUGCAAGGACUAGGCUGAACUUAAAAUGUUGAGUCAAAAAAGAGAAGAUGCUGAAAAUGUUCACCGGGAAAUAUAAAUGUUGGAAGAAAACACCAUAAAGAGGAUUAUGGAGAUGGAGUAAGCGUUGGUUAAUUCUGGUUUCAUGAUUGAGACAAUUAAUUCUGAUUAUGGAGAUGGAGUAAGCAUUAGUAAAAACUAAUAGAUACAUAUAUCUUGAUAAACUGACAUAAACUAAAUAUUAUGAACAAUGCCCCUUAGAAAGCAUGGAAUUGUGCUUUGGACCGCUGGUACAAGCUGAAAGAUCUGUCCACACGACAAGGGUUCAAUCUCAGGUGGAGCCUCUUUUUUAACAUAAUAUUAGUGCACUCGAAAUCUUCAUA